UGCUAACUAUGCAGUCGAACGGUGAAGCCAAGCUUGCUUGGUGGAUCAGUGGCGAACGGGUGAGUAACACGUGAGCAACCUGCCCUGGACUCUGGGAUAAGCGCUGGAAACGGCGUCUAAUACUGGAUAUGAGACGUGAUCGCAUGGUCGUGUUUGGAAAGAUUUUUCGGUCUGGGAUGGGCUCGCGGCCUAUCAGCUUGUUGGUGAGGUAAUGGCUCACCAAGGCGUCGACGGGUAGCCGGCCUGAGAGGGUGACCGGCCACACUGGGACUGAGACACGGCCAGACUCCUACGGGAGGCAGCAGUGGGGAAUAUUGCACAAUGGGCGAAAGCCUGAUGCAGCAACGCCGCGUGAGGGAUGACGGCCUUCGGGUUGUAAACCUCUUUUAGCAGGGAAGAAGCGAAAGUGACGGUACCUGCAGAAAAAGCGCCGGCUAACUACGUGCCAGCAGCCGCGGUAAUACGUAGGGCGCAAGCGUUAUCCGGAAUUAUUGGGCGUAAAGAGCUCGUAGGCGGUUUGUCGCGUCUGCUGUGAAAUCCCGAGGCUCAACCUCGGGCCUGCAGUGGGUACGGGCAGACUAGAGUGCGGUAGGGGAGAUUGGAAUUCCUGGUGUAGCGGUGGAAUGCGCAGAUAUCAGGAGGAACACCGAUGGCGAAGGCAGAUCUCUGGGCCGUA
This 676-nucleotide ribosomal RNA is filed under the name Microbacterium sp. BPSAC131. Its description in RNAcentral is "bacterial SSU rRNA". It matches the Rfam family "Bacterial small subunit ribosomal RNA", at positions 45 to 738 of the family's 1533-position model. Lineage: Bacteria; Bacillati; Actinomycetota; Actinomycetes; Micrococcales; Microbacteriaceae. The record is from RNAcentral.